This is a long non-coding RNA of Meleagris gallopavo (turkey), 989 nucleotides long. RefSeq lists it as uncharacterized. The record is from RefSeq and is a predicted model, not a curated record. NCBI's taxonomy places the organism in Eukaryota, Metazoa, Chordata, Aves, Galliformes, Phasianidae.
UUUUUUUAAUUAAAAAAACAUCCUUUUCAGUCAAAGUUAUAGUUAUGAAACCUUCAGAAAAGAGGCAAGAAAGCAAUGUGGAUGAGCUCUUGGAGGAAUGGGAGAUGCGGUGGCAAAGUCUACAGAGUCCAAAGUUACACAGCUGUUUCAUUCAAGCUGGGUAUGCAGAGAACAGAGGAGCUCUGUGUCAUUAAAUGGGAUCUCUCAAGAAAGGGAAGGAGACCAUGAGGACAGAGCAAUGCAAGUAGGAAUUAUGAGUCUGCUGUUCUUGCUGACAGGGGCUGAUGUGAGACAUGGAGAGAGAUUUGAGGUGAGGCAAUGUGAAGAAGCUGGAGAUCCUGGGGAAUAGUGAACCACAGAGGAUGACAGACUGCAGAGAGGUUUUGUACAACUUUAAAGUUCUGUUUCUCGUGGAUGCUUCUCAACAGGGGGAGGAGAUAAAGGAGAGGACCACAAACAGGCCUCCUGACAGCACCUGCUGUAGAACGAAAGAGUCUGGGAAAACAUACUUGUCAGACAUGAAAUAAAAGCCAUCAGAAGAAACCUGAUACAGGCCCUGCCUCAUUCAGAGUGCGGGAUGAACAGUGCUUGGAAUGAAUCGGCACAAUGAAGUGAAAGAGGCUGUUGUUUGCAGGACUCAUGGCAGUUGUUGAGGAAGUUGGAAUAUGUGUUUUGAAUGAGUUGGGAUGUCAAGAAAAGAAAGGAUGAUCCUGUAGCUGAGGCAACUGUGUUUCCCAGGAGAAAUGAGUUUCUGUCACUGCCUUUGCCAAAAAGAUUCUGUGAGGUACUGUUUUGGGGGAGAAAGGACAAAACUUUUCUCAGGUAUCCACUAACUGUGAACACAUCAUUUUCCUAGAAAUCUGGGGGUAUGGAUCCAUUUUCUUUAUGACCCACUAUCAAACAAAAUGUUGAGCUCAAUGCGCAGUGUUUUUCAUUCUUACACUUUAAUGAAAAUGUAUGCCAUCGUAAUUAAAAACUAUCUUACAAGA